AAGUCGUAACAAGGUUUCCGUAGGUGAACCUGCGGAAGGAUCAUUACAGAUUUAAUGAUCAUAGAAAUAUAUUUCCUAUGCCAACUAGUUCUAAAAUAUACUAUUAUCAUCAAUAACUUUAUAUAUAGAUUAAAGUUUUCCGCUAGUGGAUAGUUGUUAGAUGAAAUGAAUUGCAAAAAAAAAAAAAAAAAAUCACUUUUAGCGGGGGAUCACUAGGCUCGUGG
Molecule: unclassified non-coding RNA, 224 nt
Filed under: fungal sp.
Lineage: Eukaryota; Fungi
Description: partial internal transcribed spacer region
Rfam family: Eukaryotic small subunit ribosomal RNA (bases 1-46)
Source: RNAcentral